UAGGGAAUCUUCCACAAUGGACGCAAGUCUAGAUGGAGCAACGCCGCGUGAGUGAAGAAGGGUUUCGGCUCGUAAAGCUCUGUUGUUAAAGAAGAACGUGGGUAAGAGUAACUGUUUACCCAGUGACGGUAUUUAACCAGAAAGCCACGGCUAACUACGUGCCAG
This 165-nucleotide ribosomal RNA is filed under the name uncultured bacterium. RNAcentral describes it as "partial 16S rRNA". It matches the Rfam family "Bacterial small subunit ribosomal RNA", at positions 355 to 511 of the family's 1533-position model. The record is from RNAcentral.